AACCACACCCCUACGGGAUACAGCAGUGACUAACAUUAAGCUAUAAACGAAAGUUUGACUGAGUCAUAAUUUAACAGGGUUGGUAAAUUUCGUGCCAGCCACCGCGGUCAUACGAUUAACCCAAAUUAACAGAUCACCGGCGUAAAGCGUGUUUAAGUAUAAUACUCUAAUAAAGUUAAAACCUGACUAAGCUGUAAAACGUUAUAGUUAAUACCAAAAUAUGCAACUAAAGUGACUUUAAUCUGCACUGAACACACGAUAGCUAAGGCACAAACUGGGAUUAGAUACCCCACUAUGCUUAGCCCUAAACCCAAAUAGUUAAAAAACAAAACUAUUCGCCAGGGAACUACUAGCUAAUGCUUAAAACUCAAAGGACUUGGCGGUGCCCUAAACCCACCUAGAGGAGCCUGUUCUAUAAUCGAUAAACCCCGAUAAACCCCACCUCUUCUUGCCAAUACAGCCUAUAUACCGCCAUCGUCAGCUCACCCCAAUAGGGAUCCAAAGUAGGCAAAACUAUAAAACCAUAAAAACGUUAGGUCAAGGUGUAGCAUAUGAAGAGGGAAGCAAUGGGCUACAUUUUCUAAACUAGAACAUAACGAACGGCCUUAUGAAAUUUAAGACCUGAAGGAGGAUUUAGUAGUAAAUUAGGAAUAGAGAG
This 658-nucleotide ribosomal RNA is filed under the name Dromiciops bozinovici (Panchoss monito del monte). RNAcentral describes it as "partial small subunit ribosomal RNA". It matches the Rfam family "Bacterial small subunit ribosomal RNA", at positions 329 to 1356 of the family's 1533-position model. The record is from RNAcentral. Lineage: Eukaryota; Metazoa; Chordata; Mammalia; Microbiotheria; Microbiotheriidae.